UGUGCGUACAUUGCUAACUUGCUGUACUCAUGUUGUGCCAGUAGUUCUUGGCUCGAGCAUGAUGGUCAACAUAGCUGUCCUGGUAUUGACACUGUUGGUAGUGUAUGCGGCUCACAGGUGGCAGCAGAGGAAGAGAGCUGAGGAGGAAGCGUCAGAUCCGAUGGUGGUGCAGGCCAAGCUAGAGGCCAUGAUGAAGGCUCGGGAAAAACAGCAGCAGGCCUGGGAGGAAGCCUCCAGGAGGAAGCUUGAGGAACAGAAAGAGAGAGAGCAGAAGAAGCGCGCAGAAGUGUUGGAGAAGCUGGAGA
Molecule: long non-coding RNA, 305 nt
Organism: Leptidea sinapis
Lineage: Eukaryota; Metazoa; Arthropoda; Insecta; Lepidoptera; Pieridae
Exons: 3
Source: RefSeq, a predicted model, not a curated record